GUCUGGGAAACUGCCUGAUGGAGGGGGAUAACUACUGGAAACGGUGGCUAAUACCGCAUAACGUCGCAAGACCAAAGAGGGGGACCUUCGGGCCUCUUGCCAUCAGAUGUGCCCAGAUGGGAUUAGCUUGUUGGUGAGGUAACGGCUCACCAAGGCGACGAUCCCUAGCUGGUCUGAGAGGAUGACCAGCCACACUGGAACUGAGACACGGUCCAGACUCCUACGGGAGGCAGCAGUGGGGAAUAUUGCACAAUGGGCGCAAGCCUGAUGCAGCCAUGCCGCGUGUAUGAAGAAGGCCUUCGGGUUGUAAAGUACUUUCAGCGGGGAGGAAGGUGUUGUGGUUAAUAACCGCAGCAAUUGACGUUACCCGCAGAAGAAGCACCGGCUAACUCCGUGCCAGCAGCCGCGGUAAUACGGAGGGUGCAAGCGUUAAUCGGAAUUACUGGGCGUAAAGCGCACGCAGGCGGUCUGUCAAGUCGGAUGUGAAAUCCCCGGGCUCAACCUGGGAACUGCAUUCGAAACUGGCAGGCUUGAGUCUUGUAGAGGGGGGUAGAAUUCCAGGUGUAGCGGUGAAAUGCGUAGAGAUCUGGAGGAAUACCGGUGGCGAAGGCGGCCCCCUGGACAAAGACUGACGCUCAGGUGCGAAAGCGUGGGGAGCAAACAGGAUUAGAUACCCUGGUAGUCCACGCCGUAAACGAUGUCUACUUGGAGGUUGUGCCCUUGAGGCGUGGCUUCCGGAGCUAACGCGUUAAGUAGACCGCCUGGGGAGUACGGCCGCAAGGUUAAAACUCAAAUGAAUUGACGGGGGCCCGCACAAGCGGUGGAGCAUGUGGUUUAAUUCGAUGCAACGCGAAGAACCUUACCUGGUCUUGACAUCCACAGAACUUUCCAGAGAUGGAUUGGUGCCUUCGGGAACUGUGAGACAGGUGCUGCAUGGCUGUCGUCAGCUCGUGUUGUGAAAUGUUGGGUUAAGUCCCGCAACGAGCGCAACCCUUAUCCUUUGUUGCCAGCGGUCCGGCCGGGAACUCAAAGGAGACUGCCAGUGAUAAACUGGAGGAAGGUGGGGAUGACGUCAAGUCAUCAUGGCCCUUACGACCAGGGCUACACACGUGCUACAAUGGCGCAUACAAAGAGAAGCGACCUCGCGAGAGCAAGCGGACCUCAUAAAGUGCGUCGUAGUCCGGAUUGGAGUCUGCAACUCGACUCCAUGAAGUCGGAAUCGCUAGUAAUCGUGGAUCAGAAUGCCACGGUGAAUACGUUCCCGGGCCUUGUACACACCGCCCGUCACACCAUGGGAGUGGGUUGCAAAAGAAGUAGGUAGCUUAACCUUCGGGAGGGCGCUUACCACUUUGUGAUUCAUGACUGGGGUGAAGUCGUAACAAGGUAACCGUAGGGGAACCUGCGGUUGGAUCACCUCCUUACCUUAAAGAAGC
Molecule: ribosomal RNA, 1433 nt
Filed under: Salmonella enterica subsp. enterica serovar Stanley
Lineage: Bacteria; Pseudomonadati; Pseudomonadota; Gammaproteobacteria; Enterobacterales; Enterobacteriaceae
Description: bacterial SSU rRNA
Rfam family: Bacterial small subunit ribosomal RNA
Source: RNAcentral